AUACGGAGGAUGCGAGCGUUAUCCGGAUUUAUUGGGUUUAAAGGGUGCGUAGGCGGGGAGGAAAGUCAGUUGUGAAAGUUUGCGGCUCAACCGUAAAAUUGCAGUUGAAACUUCCUUUCUUGAGUACAGUAGAGGAUGGCGGAAUUCGUGGUGUAGCGGUGAAAUGCUUAGAUAUCACGACGAACCCCGAUUGCGAAGGCAGCUGUCUAGGCUGUAACUGACGCUGAUGCACGAAAGUGUGGGUAUCAAACAGGAUUAGAUACCCUGGUAGUCCACACAGUAAACGAUGAAUACUCGCUGUUUGCGAUACACAGUAAGCGGCCACGCGAAAGCAUUAAGUAUUCCACCUGGGGAGUACGCCGGCAACGGUGAA
Molecule: ribosomal RNA, 373 nt
Filed under: uncultured Bacteroides sp.
Lineage: Bacteria; Pseudomonadati; Bacteroidota; Bacteroidia; Bacteroidales; Bacteroidaceae
Description: bacterial SSU rRNA
Rfam family: Bacterial small subunit ribosomal RNA
Source: RNAcentral